GAUGAACGCUGGCGGCGUGCCUAAUACAUGCAAGUCGAGCGAACAGACGAGGAGCUUGCUCCUCUUACGUUAGCGGCGGACGGGUGAGUAACACGUGGAUAACCUACCUAUAAGACUGGGAUAACUUCGGGAAACCGGAGCUAAUACCGGAUAACAUGUUGAACCGCAUGGUUCAACAGUGAAAGACGGUCUUGCUGUCACUUAUAGAUGGAUCCGCGCCGCAUUAGCUAGUUGGUAAGGUAACGGCUUACCAAGGCAACGAUGCGUAGCCGACCUGAGAGGGUGAUCGGCCACACUGGAACUGAGACACGGUCCAGACUCCUACGGGAGGCAGCAGUAGGGAAUCUUCCGCAAUGGGCGAAAGCCUGACGGAGCAACGCCGCGUGAGUGAUGAAGGUCUUCGGAUCGUAAAACUCUGUUAUUAGGGAAGAACAAAUGUGUAAGUAACUAUGCACGUCUUGACGGUACCUAAUCAGAAAGCCACGGCUAACUACGUG
This 497-nucleotide ribosomal RNA is filed under the name uncultured bacterium. Its description in RNAcentral is "partial 16S ribosomal RNA". It matches the Rfam family "Bacterial small subunit ribosomal RNA", at positions 28 to 507 of the family's 1533-position model. The record is from RNAcentral.